This 886-nucleotide ribosomal RNA is filed under the name Akanthomyces dipterigenus. RNAcentral describes it as "partial large subunit ribosomal RNA". It matches the Rfam family "Eukaryotic large subunit ribosomal RNA", at positions 42 to 960 of the family's 3401-position model. Lineage: Eukaryota; Fungi; Ascomycota; Sordariomycetes; Hypocreales; Cordycipitaceae. The record is from RNAcentral.
UACAAUAAGCGGAGGAAAAGAAACCAACAGGGAUUGCCCCAGUAACGGCGAGUGAAGCGGCAACAGCUCAAAUUUGAAAUCUGGCCCCCGGGUCCGAGUUGUAAUUUGUAGAGGAUGCUUUUGGCGAGGUGCCUUCCGAGUUCCCUGGAACGGGACGCCAUAGAGGGUGAGAGCCCCGUCUGGUCGGACACCGAGCCUCUGUAAAGCUCCUUCGACGAGUCGAGUAGUUUGGGAAUGCUGCUCAAAAUGGGAGGUAUAUGUCUUCUAAAGCUAAAUAUUGGCCAGAGACCGAUAGCGCACAAGUAGAGUGAUCGAAAGAUGAAAAGCACUUUGAAAAGAGGGUUAAAAAGUACGUGAAAUUGUUGAAAGGGAAGCGCCUAUGACCAGACUUGGGCCCGGUGAAUCAUCCAGCGUUCUCGCUGGUGCACUUUGCCGGGCACAGGCCAGCAUCAGUUUGGCGCGGGGGAGAAAGGCUCUGGGAAUGUGGCUCCUCCGGGAGUGUUAUAGCCCACUGCGUAAUACCCUGCGCCGGACUGAGGUACGCGCAUUGCAAGGAUGCUGGCGUAAUGGUCAUCAGCGACCCGUCUUGAAACACGGACCAAGGAGUCGUCUUCGUAUGCGAGUGUUCGGGUGUCAAACCCCUACGCGUAAUGAAAGUGAACGCAGGUGAGAGCUUCGGCGCAUCAUCGACCGAUCCUGAUGUUCUCGGAUGGAUUUGAGUAAGAGCAUACGGGGCCGGACCCGAAAGAAGGUGAACUAUGCCUGUAUAGGGUGAAGCCAGAGGAAACUCUGGUGGAGGCUCGCAGCGGUUCUGACGUGCGAAUCGAUCGUCAAAUAUGGGCAUGGGGGCGAAAGACUAAUCGAACCUUCUAGUAGCUGGUUCCGC